Molecule: ribosomal RNA, 425 nt
Filed under: uncultured bacterium
Lineage: Bacteria
Description: partial 16S ribosomal RNA
Rfam family: Bacterial small subunit ribosomal RNA
Source: RNAcentral
GUGGGGAAUAUUGGGCAAUGGGGGAAACCCUGACCCAGCAACGCCGCGUGAAGGAAGAAGGUUUUCGGAUCGUAAACUUCUAUCCUUGGUGAAGAUAAUGACGGUAGCCAAGAAGGAAGCCCCGGCUAACUACGUGCCAGCAGCCGCGGUAAUACGUAGGGGGCAAGCGUUGUCCGGAAUGAUUGGGCGUAAAGGGCGCGUAGGCGGCCUGGUAAGUCUGGAGUGAAAGUCCUGCUUUUAAGGUGGGAAUUGCUUUGGAUACUGUCGGGCUUGAGUGCAGGAGAGGUAAGCGGAAUUCCCGGUGUAGCGGUGAAAUGCGUAGAGAUUGGGAGGAACACCAGUGGCGAAGGCGACUUACUGGGCCGUAACUGACGUUGAUGCGCGAAAGCGUGGGGAGCGAACAGGAUUAGAAACCCUUGUAGUCC